AUUCAUGUGAAAUUAAUUUGUAGGUGUCAUCUAAAAAUACAUUAAAUGAGGAAGAGGCAAAUUUGAGAUUUUUAGAUAUUGACUGUUAACAGUUGGACAAUAAAGCCAUAAUGUUUGUUAUAGACUCUGAUGUUAAAAUGUUAAACUAUAUAUUUACUGCAUUAUGUACAAUUGAUGAUACAUGUUAUGCUUUGAAUUUAUGCAGACCAAUCUUUUAAGCUAACCUGGCCUAAAAAAGGUUAAGCAACAAGUUGAAUAAGCUAUGGCCAUGGUCCUUCUGCUGCCAUCAUUAAACUUUACACAUAAAAUUGUUAUCUUUAGAACUGUAAACUGCAC
This 336-nucleotide long non-coding RNA is filed under the name Mytilus galloprovincialis (Mediterranean mussel). Lineage: Eukaryota; Metazoa; Mollusca; Bivalvia; Mytilida; Mytilidae. The record is from RNAcentral.